This 253-nucleotide ribosomal RNA is filed under the name uncultured bacterium. Its description in RNAcentral is "partial 16S ribosomal RNA". It matches the Rfam family "Bacterial small subunit ribosomal RNA", at positions 524 to 776 of the family's 1533-position model. The record is from RNAcentral.
UACAGAGGGUGCGAGCGUUGUUCGGAAUUAUUGGGCGUAAAGAGCUCGUAGGCGGUUUGUCGCGUCUGCUGUGAAAACUGGAGGCUCAACCUCCAGCCUGCAGUGGGUACGGGCAGACUAGAGUGCGGUAGGGGAGAUUGGAAUUCCUGGUGUAGCGGUGGAAUGCGCAGAUAUCAGGAGGAACACCGAUGGCGAAGGCAGAUCUCUGGGCCGUAACUGACGCUGAGGAGCGAAAGCAUGGGGAGCGAACAGG